GUGCUCGCUUCGGCAGCACAUAUACUAAAAUGGGAAAGAUACAGAGAUUAGCAUGGCCCCUGCGCAAGGAUGACACGCAAAUUCAUGAAGCGUUCCAUAAAAAA
RNAcentral lists this small nuclear RNA (104 nucleotides) under Sus scrofa (pig). RNAcentral also lists the same sequence under 1 other name. Lineage: Eukaryota; Metazoa; Chordata; Mammalia; Artiodactyla; Suidae. The record is from RNAcentral.